RNAcentral lists this long non-coding RNA (1111 nucleotides) under Parus major (Great Tit). Its description in RNAcentral is "lncRNA (ENSPMJG00000005871.1)". Lineage: Eukaryota; Metazoa; Chordata; Aves; Passeriformes; Paridae. The record is from RNAcentral.
UUAUCCCGUGUUUUCCUGCUCCUCACAGUGGAUAUUUUUCCCAUACUGCCAUGACAUUGGGUUUGUGUUUUCUUUUCUUUUUUUACUUCACUCCUUUACCCCUCAUCUCUGCUCCUCUAAUUUUAUAAAUUACUGAAAUGAUAAUUUUUUUCCCUCCCCAGUGCUGGGGCUGAGCAUGAUGAAAUUUUCCUGUGGAGAUGUGGAUCCUGUGUUUUAAUUACUGCUCAGGCCAGUGAAGGUUCUUCUAAAGAAUAAGUGCUGAUUAAAGCGGGUUUUAUCACAGGAUGGAUCUUAUGCAAACAAAGAAAGAAAUCAAAAUAUCCUCUAUCAAAUGAAAUCAAGAUAUCCUGUAUCAGUCAGGUUGGACAAGCCCUGUGGGAUGACUGAGUCCAGCUGUUCCCCCACCCCUGCCCCAAAGGCCACAUCCACAAUCUCUGAACCCCUCCAGGGAUGGGGACUGCCCUGGGCAGCCUGGAGAGCCCUUGCAGGGAAGAAACACAGAUCAAUCCUUCUGUUCUCCUUCUGGUAAAACAAGGAAAACAAAGCUCCUUUAUCCAAUUUCCAAGCUGUAUUUCAUUCUCUUUUGUGAUGCCCAAAGUGCUGCUCAUCCAGGAGAAGUCUGGAGAGCAGCAAGAACUUUCCUGGCUCUCACCUGGAGCACGUCAGGCCUGCAGAAUCCCUGGAUACAGGAGGGAGACAGGAGAGAGGAGCAGGAGCUGGGAGGUCAAGAGGAGAUUUGGUCAGGGGCACUGAUGUGCUGGAUCACCAUCCCUGGGAGUAAAUUCUUUCCCAUUCUUUGCUGCUGCCAUUCGUGCUCCCCCUCUGCUCCUUUUGCAGCUGCUAUGAAAUUGCCUUGCAUUGGAAUUUGCCCAAAUUCCAGCUUUUUCCAGAGUUUUUCUGUUUUAUUUAGAGCUUUUCCAAGUGGCUCCUUGUAGAUGUGGAGUUCUUAAAUGCUGGUAAUGCUCUUUGUCCACCCUGGGAGAUGGUGAAUAUUCCUGGCACGGUGUGACUGCAAGGCAGGAAAAGCUUUGGGAGCAAAGCACAGUGGAUGUGUUCUGGAUCUUCUUUAGGGAGCACAGAAGGAGUUAAAUAAACCAGGGCUGGAAGGACA